AGACAAAGUGUAUACAUUUUCAAGGUACCUGUUGAAACAACGGAUGCAAUUCUUUUACCAAAAGGGUUGUGCUGAAAACUCCAAAAUAAUACAGACAUUUCCUAGGCAGAGGGUUCUAAGAACCAGGAAAAUUGGCUGUUCAUUGGGCUCUAGUUUAUUCAGCCUUUGGGGACAUCUUGCGGGAUAUUGCACCGGCUAGUUUUAUAGAGUCAUUCGAAGCAAGAAAACCUCAACUGAGAAAAUGGCUCUAUCAAGAUUCCGCUGCAGGUAAGUCUGUAAAGCGUUUUCUUUAAUGAUUGGUGUCUCUGGGAUGUAGGUGGUACCAUCUUGGACUGGUGGUUCCGGUUAUAAGAAUGCAGAUUAAGCAAGCCACGAGGUGCAAGCCGGUAAGCAGCAAACCUCCAUGGUCUCUGCAUCAGGUUCUGCCCCAGACUCCUGACCAGUUUGAGUUCCUGCCUUGGCUUCCCUCAGUGAACGUAACAGGCGGGAGACCAGGCCCUGAGGCCGGUAGCCGCUCGCCCACCGCCCGUCUCUGCCAGCCCGGUCACCUGUUUCCGCACCCCCCGAAGGCUGUUCUUCGCUCCCGACGCUCGCGACUCUGGUUCCUGGACAACUGAGGUGCCUGGAAAUAGAGUGCGGGACUCGGCUCCUUCUCUGGGAACACAGGGGCAAGCGGGUCAGGAGCCCCACGCCGCGAGCAGCCAUUGUCACGGCAGCAGGAAGUAAACGCCAGAGGUCAGCCGGCUUCUGUGCGAGCAUGCGCGCCGAGAGACUGCGACAACGGGAAGCCUGUUGGGUCAAACUAGGAAGGCAAUGUGGAGUAGAAAGCAAAAUGGGGAGGUCAAAAUGGAAAUCGCUGAGAUUUGCAUAAACUUACGUGUUCUGAAUUUAACUUUCUGUUGCCUCACUGAACUCUGGUGAGGUGUUGCUACUCCAUUAUACAGAGUUGAACUUCUUACGUUUUAUUCACAUCUUAUUGAAAAGGAAGGUGAAUGAGCCUCAGAAGUCAGACUCAGGUCAGACGACCAAAGUUAUUGUUUUGUCCCUAAAUAUGCACUUUUAAAAUACCAAAUACCUAAAUAAAUAUCUUUUUUUUUAAAGUGCUAA
Rattus norvegicus (Norway rat) is the source of this 1107-nucleotide long non-coding RNA. RefSeq lists it as uncharacterized. The record is from RefSeq and is a predicted model, not a curated record. NCBI's taxonomy places the organism in Eukaryota, Metazoa, Chordata, Mammalia, Rodentia, Muridae.